Molecule: microRNA precursor, 90 nt
Filed under: Canis lupus dingo (dingo)
Lineage: Eukaryota; Metazoa; Chordata; Mammalia; Carnivora; Canidae
Description: mir-8799 microRNA precursor family
Rfam family: mir-8799 microRNA precursor family
Source: Rfam by way of RNAcentral
GGAGGGAGGCCGGAUCCUGGGCUCUGUACCCUGGGCCCUGUGCUCCCGGGCCUGCGAUUUUGGAUUCAUGCUCCGGCCGCGCAGCCGCCU